Molecule: long non-coding RNA, 2439 nt
Filed under: Sus scrofa (pig)
Lineage: Eukaryota; Metazoa; Chordata; Mammalia; Artiodactyla; Suidae
Description: lncRNA (ENSSSCG00030018995.1)
Source: RNAcentral
AAAUCAGCCAGUGCAUUUAGUGAAUCCCACACUCUGGGUUUCUUAUAUUGUAUUUUGAUCCUUUGGUUGAAUUUUGCCAUGAGUGAGCUUGUGGGUACCGGGGGUUGGGGGUUGUCAACCCUCUCACUUACAACAACUUAAAUAUCUGUGGACAGGACUUUCAAAGGCAAAUCACAGUGAUUUUAGGAAAGAAUUAACAUGGGUAAUUGGUCCAUGAUCAAAUGUUCGUAAUAAGAGUGUAAAUCUAACAUAUGAUUGCCUUAAUUUUUUCUUUAUUCAGUGUCACAUAUUGCAGGGGUGAUAUAGUUCAGCACUAGGGUAUGUGGGAUUCACUAAAUACGGUUAGGAGAAAUUUGGGGGUAAAUUGCACCUUAGCAUACCUUUGUUCUUUUCUGAGAACAGAAAACUGCUCUAAGAAAUGUGAAAUCAUUAUUUCAUGCUCAUUCCCAGUAUAAAUGCAUGGAAGGAACGAACGUCCUGCCUCCAAACUGUGUUAACUGAUUAUCUCUGGGUCGAUUCCUGUUUGGGGGCAAUUCCCCACUGUGCUGGUUGUAUGAACUGGCCUUGUACACUGAAGCUUCCACUGGAAACUUCAAAACUUGGGUAUGUAACACAGGACCUGGGGUGAAUUGAGGCCCAUGAGGCUUCUAACAGGCUAGGGUGUAAAAUUUAAGGAGGCACUCAUUCUCAAAGUCUUGGAAGGACCUAUUUGCAUUUGUGCAACCCUGAGGGUUUGUGCCUCCUUAAAUUUGGCUCCCUAGCCUCUUGACCCAGCCAUGCUUUGACACUGGCACCCUCUGCAAGCAGAUCAUCACAGUGUGGGUGGAGGUGAUGAUAGUGCAAUGAUGGGUGAUAGGGGUGGUGCUAGUGACAGCAGAAAGAGUGAUGGUGGUGGCCGUGGCUGUGGUGCUGCUGACUCCAUUGGUGUCAUCUUGUAUAUCAGGAGGACCUCGAUGCUGAAUUCCCCAAGAAAGACUCCCCGUUCUCCUGCCUUUGGAUUUCUAACUCCUUCAUAAUCCUUCCAGUACAUUACUUUCCUACUUAAGUGAACCAGUGUUGGUUUCUGUUGCUUGCAACCAAGAAAUCUGACUAAUAAUACAGUGGGAUUGUGAGCAAUUUUAUAUUUUGUUCUCCUCUACCCUUUUCUGUGUUUUCAUUUCUUAUGUGUUUAUAGUGAGUUUACUUUUUCAUGGAAGGCCAAGUAUUUUUAGCAACUUAUUCUGCUGUCAAGUAGACCAAAGUGUGUAGGGUAGGCUCCAGACUAAGUCCGUUUCACUGAUGUUGCUGUGACGACCUAGAUUCCUUCCAUCUCUGUACUGUUCCAUGAUUGAUGUUGUCUUUAUCCUUCAGGUUAGAGUAGUGUGGCUGUAGCAAUUCCAAGAAUUACAUACAGAAAUGACAAUGUCUAGAUGAAGAAGAGAAAGGGUCUCUUCUUAGGGUGCUUUCCUAGGAAUGAGGCACAGUUUUCUAGGAGCCCCACUAUCAAUUUCACUCUCAUUUUAUUUGUCCAAAUUGAGUCACAUGCCUAAAGAUGCAAGAGCAAUUUUCUCCUGAGACCAAUAAGACCCAUUCCCAGAACUGAAGUUAGUUUCCCCUAAGGCAUAUGACACUGUGAGGGCAAGAAAAGUAACUAAAUAAAAUUAGAAUUCUCUUAGGAAAGAAGAAAGUUUGAAUGAAGGCUCAAUGGUUAACUUGCAGUAACCACAAUUUAUUUUGGUUGCUUGCUGAAUGCUUUGUUCACAUUGGGGUGUGUGGCUACAGUCUGGGUAUUCAUGUAUAUUGUCCAUCGAUAGAUGAAUGGAGAAAUAAAAUGUGUUAUAUACGUACAGCAGAAUAUUCUUCAGCCUUAAAAAGAAGGGAAUUCUGAUACAUGCUAAAACAUGGGUGAACCUUGAAGAUACUUUGAAGUAAAAUAAGCUGGUCACCAAAAGAUAAAUCCUGUGUGAUUCCACUCCCAACGAGGUACUUAGUCAAAUUCACAGAGACAGCAAGUUGAAUGGUUGUUGCCAGGGGCUGGGGGAGGGGAAGUGGGGAGUUACUGUUUACUGGGCAUGGAGUUUCAAGUUUGGCAAGAUGAAAAAAGUUCUGUACAAUAGCGUGAAUGUACUUAGUGUCACCGAACUACACUUAAAAAUGGUUCAGAUGGUAAAGUUUGUGUUGUAUCUAUUUUACCACAAUUUAAAAAACUAUAAAUUAAAAAAAAAAAAUCCCACUGUGAGGGUUGAUUUAACAUAUGAACUUGGCUAUGUCACACCAGUUUUUGGUCAAACACCAGUCUAGAUGUUGCAGUGAGGAUAAUUUGAUCUGGGACUCACGGUUCAGCCGUUAACGAACCUGACUAGGAUCCAUGAGAAUUCGGGUUCGACCCCUGGCCUCACUCAGUGGGUUAAGGAUCCAGCGUUGCCCUGAGCUGUGGUGUAGGCCGGCAGCUAUAGCUCC